UUAAAGAAAGCGUAAUAGCUCACUGGUCUAGUGAUUUUGCGCGGAAAAUAUAACGGGGCUAAAGUAAGUACCGAAGCUUUAGACUUGCACACAACUUAGAUGAUUUAAAUUUAAAAUAUGAGAAGCUAAAUUUAUUUUUAUUUAUUUUUNGCUUAUCUUUAUUCAUUUUUAUAGAGUAAAGAUAAAAACAAAAACUUCGUAAAAAUAAUAAAAAUAUAGUAAAAANCAAUAAAAAUAUUCUUAGAUUAAGUUAGUCAUUUAGUCAUUAGUUGUGUGCAAGUGGUAGGAGAGCGUUCUAUUUGCGUCGAAGGUAUACCGGUAAGGAGUGCUGGAGCGAAUAGACGUGAGCAUGCAGGCAUGAGUAGCGAUAAUUAAUGUGAGAAUCAUUAACGCCGUAAACCCAAGGUUUCCUACGCGAUGCUCGUCAUCGUAGGGUUAGUCGGGUCCUAAGUCGAGUCCGAAAGGGUAGACGAUGGCAAAUUGGUUAAUAUUCCAAUACCAACAUUAGUGUGCGAUGGAAGGACGCUUAGGGCUAAGGGGGCUAGCGGAUGGAAGUGCUAGUCUAAGGUCGUAGGAGCUUAUACAGGAAAAUCCGUAUAACAAUACUCCGAGAACUGAAAGGCUUUUUGAAGUCUUCGGAUGGAUAGAAGAACCCCUGAUGCCGUCGAGCCAAGAAAAGUUUCUAAGUUUAGCUAAUGUUGCCCGUACCGUAAACCGACACAGGUGGGUGGGAUGAGUAUUCUAAGGCGCGUGGAAGAACUCUCUUUAAGGAACUCUGCAAAAUAGCACCGUAUCUUCGGUAUAAGGUGUGCCUCCCUUUGUAUUAGAAUUUACUUCGAAAGCAAAGGAGGUUACAACAAAGAGUCCCUCCCGACUGUUUACCAAAAACACAGCACUCUGCUAACUCGUAAGAGGAUGUAUAGGGUGUGACGCCUGCCCGGUGCUCGAAGGUUAAUUGAUGGGGUUAGCAUUAGCGAAGCUCUUGAUCGAAGCCCG
This 996-nucleotide ribosomal RNA is filed under the name Campylobacter upsaliensis. Its description in RNAcentral is "bacterial LSU rRNA". It matches the Rfam family "Bacterial large subunit ribosomal RNA", at positions 1123 to 1921 of the family's 2925-position model. The record is from RNAcentral. Lineage: Bacteria; Pseudomonadati; Campylobacterota; Epsilonproteobacteria; Campylobacterales; Campylobacteraceae.